CAGGGAGACAACAAAAUGUUAAAUAUUAAUUUUGUCACCUUAGGUCGAUCGGUAUCUCACAUUCUUAAUUUAUUAAGGAUUUUAUUUCCUAAGUUUUUUCUAGGUCACACCCAUUACUUUUUCCUGGGCCAUUAGCUCAGGUGGUUAGAGCGCACCCCUGAUAAGGGUGAGGUCCCUGGUUCAAGUCCAGGAUGGCCCAUAUCUCUAUGUUGGGGGUAUAGCUCAGUUGGUAGAGCGCCUGCUUUGCAAGCAGGAUGUCAGCGGUUCGAGUCCGCUUACCUCCACUGAUUACCACCUCUUCCAUAAUUUUAUAGAAGGGAAAUGUUUUGAGUUGUGAUCAUUUUCUGAACGAAUCUAGCUUCCUAAUCAAACUUAUUAAGAUGCUGGACUCAUUGAAUUAAUUUCUUUGUUUUCAGAGAACCUUGACAACUGCAUAGAUUAUUUUUAAAGACAAUAAGCAUCUUUAAUGAUGCAGAUUUAUUAUUUGUGCGAUUGCAUUAAUAACAAUUCUAUUAAGCUGAUGCUUCAAUUUUUGAAGUUAUU
RNAcentral lists this transfer RNA (543 nucleotides) under uncultured Prochlorococcus sp. RNAcentral describes it as "partial 16S-23S ribosomal RNA intergenic spacer". The stretch from base 212 to 284 matches the Rfam family "tRNA". The record is from RNAcentral. Lineage: Bacteria; Bacillati; Cyanobacteriota; Cyanophyceae; Synechococcales; Prochlorococcaceae.